Molecule: unclassified non-coding RNA, 452 nt
Filed under: Hevea brasiliensis (rubber tree)
Lineage: Eukaryota; Viridiplantae; Streptophyta; Magnoliopsida; Malpighiales; Euphorbiaceae
Source: RNAcentral
AAUGAUCUUUACCUUCUACAAGGCUCAGGGUCUUUCAGUUGGUUCCUCCUUGGUUGAGGAAGACAAACUAGAGCUUGCAACAUCACUCCUGGAAAAGGCCAAGGCAAAAGGAGUCAGUCUCUUGUUACCAUCUGAUGUUGUGAUUGCAGAUAAAUUUGCUCCUGAUGCAAACAGCAAGAUUGUGCCGGCAUCUGCUAUCCCAGAUGGUUGGAUGGGGUUAGACAUUGGACCAGACUCUAUCAAGACUUUCAACGAUGCUUUGGAUACCACAAAAACAGUGAUCUGGAAUGGACCUAUGGGGGUGUUUGAAUUUGACAAGUUUGCUACUGGAACGGAGGCAAUUGCAAAGAAGCUAGCAGACCUAAGUGGGAAAGGAGUGACCACUAUCAUUGGAGGUGGAGACUCUGUUGCAGCGGUUGAGAAAGUUGGAGUGGCUAGCGUGAUGAGCCAUA